UGGGAGACCAUGGAGCUGUUGGUCAGAAAAGCCACCCUCUGUUUCCCCUCCCCCAUGAGCUGUAGGGGCUUCCCACCCCACUAGGACAAGGCUUGGUCAUGUGACUUGUUUUAGCCAAAGGGAUGUUCACUGUAGGCAAAAGCUUCCUGUAUUUCUGCCUGUCAAGAAGGCUCCUUCACCCCCUCACCCCAAAGCUGCUGUUCCCCUAGCAGGGCUCCCAGUAGACACAGCUCCACCCACAAUUUGGAGCCAAGUCCAGCUGGGCGUACAGCUUCCACAGCCCCAGUUGGCUGCCUACACCCUCCACAAGUCCACAGUCCUGAGAGGGAAUGAUCAUGUGUUAAGCCCCUGAUUCUAGCCUGGGAGCGCGAGUUUCCAGCUCACCUCUGAUCCCAUUCUCAUGGGUACCGGCCACAUACCCAAGGUCUCAGUAAUCCUGGAAUAUUCUUUUGAUUGCCAUGUAUCUUGAGCAUUUGGAUUUGCUUUUUCCAGCUACUUUGAGGUAUGAUUUACAUAAAAUAAGCUUGGUCAAUUCAUAGACAUGGGGCCUGUUUCCAUGCGGCUUAUAAUUAUGGGGAUCAGACAGUCCCCAAAUGUUAGAGCUUAGAAGGUGCUUUGGGGUUCACGGACUGAAGCUGCAUUUUCAUUUGAUCAUCCAGAAGUGACUUUCAGAGCAGGGAGAGUGGCAAGGCUGGAAAGUCUGGCUCCCGGCUACACGAUCCAUCUACAGCACUGUCAGAUCCCUCAGCAGCAGGGUCUGAGUCACCAGGCAAGCAGAGCUCAGCAGAUGCAAAAUGAACAUAGCCCACUGCCCCUUUCCUGCAGUAUCGGAUGACAGCAGAGACAUCAAGAAGGGCACAAUGCUUAGUGACCUCACGCAGACCCAAGUACUUGGGGGACAAGACCAGAGGGAAGCAGGUCCACUCAGCUUCCACAGGACCCCCGAUCCUGCCUUGUGCAUCAUCCCCACAAACAGUCUGGCAGGCAUGACUGAAAUUCUGGAUCUGGGGGAGCUGCAAGAACUCAGCAACCCCAAGGGCAGAGGAGCAAUCACUGUUGUGCUACCACGUGGCAGACACCUCUCUUUCUCUCUCAAUUGGCCAGCACUGCCUACUCACUAAAGUCUCCGAGUUGAACAAGACAAAGUUCCUACCCUCACACAGCGUGUGACUGAGUGGACCAGCACCUACUAAACCUCUGAACUGUAAUCAUGUCUAGACACAUCGGUGUGUAUAUUGGCCACAUGAUACAGGGUAAGUGCUAGGAAGAAAAUUAAGCAGGAAAAAGGGCACAGAGUGAAGGGGACAGAAGGGUGAUUUAGAUGGAAAGUUCCGGAGGGGACAAGGACAUUGAAGGGGGAGACCCCAGGGAGAUGGGGAGCAGGUCGCUA
RNAcentral lists this long non-coding RNA (1390 nucleotides) under Chinchilla lanigera (long-tailed chinchilla). RNAcentral's name for it is "lncRNA (ENSCLAG00000025854.1)". Lineage: Eukaryota; Metazoa; Chordata; Mammalia; Rodentia; Chinchillidae. The record is from RNAcentral.